AACCCAUAAUGAGAGUACAUUUUCAAUAAAUCCUUGUAUAUCUCCCAUGCAUCAUACAAUGUUUCUAAAUCAAUCUGGGUAAAUGAAGAAAUAUCAAUCCUCAACUU
Molecule: small nucleolar RNA, 107 nt
Organism: Gossypium raimondii (Peruvian cotton)
Lineage: Eukaryota; Viridiplantae; Streptophyta; Magnoliopsida; Malvales; Malvaceae
Rfam family: Plant small nucleolar RNA R71
About the family: R71 is a member of the C/D box family of snoRNAs containing the C (UGAUGA) and D (CUGA) box motifs. Multiple nearly identical copies of this snoRNA have been identified in Arabidopsis, and it is thought to function as a 2'-O-ribose methylation guide for 18S ribosomal RNA.
Source: Rfam